Non-coding RNA from Cucurbita pepo subsp. pepo (vegetable marrow), 571 nucleotides. Lineage: Eukaryota; Viridiplantae; Streptophyta; Magnoliopsida; Cucurbitales; Cucurbitaceae. The record is from RefSeq and is a predicted model, not a curated record.
GACUCGUCGAUUCUUUACCCUGCAGAUGGAGGAAACAUGCAUUGCUUCACAGCUGUGACAGCGUGUGCAGUGUUAGAUGUGCUCGGCCCGCCAUACUCCGAUCGAGACGGUCGGCAUUGCUCAUACUACCUUGACCAUCCCUUCACAAAAUUUUCAGUGGAGGAGGGGGUUUCGGUCCCAGAAGCAGAUAGGGAAAGGUACGCAUGGCUUGAAGAAAGAGAGCAACCUAAAGACUUGGCUGCCGUUGGAGCAGUGUACAAAGGGCCAAAGAUAGUAGAGAAUCGAUGAACUCUCUGCAAAUGAGAUCUUGUUCAUUCCAUACAGUGCUGUCAUGGACUGCUACCAUUUGUGUGCAGCAUACAAUCUUUGUUUACUUCUAGAAGAAACAACAGAGAGAGAGAGAGAGAGAGAAUUAAAAUAAGGUUCUUUUAUUGAUGUUUCUUGUUUUGUGGAACAUGAAUUAGGUGCUCCCUUCAUCCUUCCUUCUUACUGUUUUUAAUCAUGUUUUGUAUGUAUAUAUAGUGGAGUUAGAAAGGGACUGAGUAUAAAGGAGUAUGAAUUUCUUAUGUUC